This 474-nucleotide long non-coding RNA is filed under the name Rattus norvegicus (Norway rat). Its description in RNAcentral is "long non-coding RNA NONRATT011847". Lineage: Eukaryota; Metazoa; Chordata; Mammalia; Rodentia; Muridae. The record is from RNAcentral.
UCAUUUGUCUUUGUCAAUUAUUUCUGUUGCAGAGAUAAAACACCCUGACCACAGUCACUUAAGGGAGCAAGGACUUAUUCUGUCUUGCACUUCAAGGGUGUGGUUCAUCAUGGCAGGGAGGGAGCAGUAGACAUUGGGCCAUGUGACCCCCCCAGUCAAGAAUCGGGGAGAGAGAGAGAUGAAACCCACCUCAGGUCCCCGUAGUCCAUGGGCUGGUGCUGCCCAUAUUUAAGAUAGGCCAUCCCAUCUCACUGAAGUCAGUCUGGAAACUGCACCGGACAUGCCCAGAGAUGGUCUCCAAGGUGACUCUAGAUCUGUUUGGGUUGAUAAUCAGUAUUAACUUGCUGUUGUUGGCACAUGUGUGGAAUCAGGAGACUGUCUCCUUUGGGAAUGGAAGGGGCACACUGACCACAGAGAUCUCCACCCCUCUCCCAACUUGCACAACUGCAGGAAUAAACUCAGAUAGUGGCUUCA